GAUGAAGAACGUAGCGAAAUGCGAUAACUAAUGUGAAUUGCAGAAUUCAGUGAAUCAUCGAGUCUUUGAACGCACAUUGCGCCCCCUGGUAUUCCGGGGGGCAUGCCUGUCCGAGCGUCAUUGCUGCCCUCAAGCACGGCUUGUGUGUUGGGCUCCGUCCCCCCGGGGACGGGUCCGAAAGGCAGCGGCGGCACCGAGUCCGGUCCUCGAGCGUAUGGGGCUUUGUCACCCGCUCUGUAGGCCCGGCCGGCGCCAGCCGACAACCAAUCAUCCUUUUUUCAGGUUGACCUCGGAUCAGGUAGGGAUACCCGCUGAACUUAAGCAUAUCAAUAACGGAGGA
Molecule: unclassified non-coding RNA, 340 nt
Filed under: soil metagenome
Description: partial contains 5.8S ribosomal RNA, internal transcribed spacer 2, and large subunit ribosomal RNA
Rfam family: 5.8S ribosomal RNA (bases 1-120)
Source: RNAcentral